This is a long non-coding RNA of Strigops habroptila (Kakapo), 2707 nucleotides long. RefSeq lists it as uncharacterized. The transcript has 4 exons. Lineage: Eukaryota; Metazoa; Chordata; Aves; Psittaciformes; Psittacidae. The record is from RefSeq and is a predicted model, not a curated record.
UGUCAUAGCUCCAUCACCUCCUCUUAGCAUGUUUUAAAGAGUGCUCCCUGACCUCUUUAUUGAAGAAAAAGAAGAGCCUGGAGGUUCUUACUUGAAGGAGAAGUUUCUUGGCACUGGAUUCCAGACAAGCAUCGCUUGCGCGCUGCCCCUGCCAAACAAGACAGCUGCCAGGCGAGAGGGGCGGGCAGGAGAGGAAACCCCAUUCCCUAGGGAAUACCUCCAAGUGAGGAGCUGUGCAGCACCCUUGGCUUCAGGGCAGUGCAGGAGGCCUGGAGGACUAUAUUCCCUUCUGAGGUCCCUCACUCUUGCCCAGCACUGCAGAGAGAGGCUACAGGCAUGUGAGGGCAUUUACUGUGGCCAGGUCUCUAGAAACCAGGCAUGGCAAAGCUUGUGGCUCCAGGGCAUCUGUCCUAUUUGUAGCCUUUCACGAGUGAAGUUUCAAUAAAGCUCUUUUUAAUGUGAGCCCUUCAGUGUUUAAGUGAAAGUGCAGAGCAGCCCAACUGCUUCAAGAACAAGAAGGUAUGUGAAACAAGGCACUACAUCAAUUACUUACGUGUCAUGGUGGUGGAGAGUGAGAAAACUGAGAGGAAAUGCAGGGAAUUUGUUGCAGUGCAAUUUAGAAGCAUCUCAAUACUCCCCUCAGUAUGCUUAUUGCUGGUCCACUGUAUUCAGACAAUGCUUUUAAGCACCAGCAUUGAGCCACACAUGGGGACUGCGAACAUUAUUUUAUCCAUUGUGUUAUCUGCCUCCUUUUAGUGAAAUGAAAUGAUGCCAUGUUCCACAUACUGUUCCUUCCCCUGACAGCAGCCACAGGGCUCAGGAAACUGCUCAGAGCAGCAUGGGCCAUCUCCAGCAGACGCUCCCAUCUGGGCAGGCACUUGGGAAGCUGCAGAGGAGGCAGGUGUGCAGCUGCCAACCCCCACUCCCCACGGGGAAAGUGCUGCAUUCCCGGCAAAAGGAACCUCCUGGCGCGUGCUCCCGUCUCGGGGGUCCGCCUGGCCUUUUUCUGACAGCGUAAUUUCCUUAGGAGUCUCAGAGUCUGACAUCUCUGUUCAUGACCCUUUUUUCUAAGCAACAUUAAUAUCUGCUGCAGGUCUGGCAGGUGCAACGUCCGCUAAUUGUGUCUGCAUCGCCAGGCCUUAUUCAAACAGGCCUGUAACAUCCGAAUUUCUACUUGGGCAAUGAACAGACCUCCUUUUUUCCUGGGAAGAGUGCAUUGCUCGCUCAGGAGCUCUUGGCCAACGAUUCCACAUCAGGAAGAAACAUAUAGUUAGGAAAUUUUGCCUAAGCCAUCACUGUGAAAACUCAUCGGUAUGCCUGAUGGAACUGAAUAGCAUUUGCCAGUCUGAAUUAUGUCUUGUGUCACAGGCAUAACUGAAGUACCUUUAUAAGAUGAACAAGGAGACCUUUACCUCAAAAAGCCAGAAUAAGUUGAUAUGCACUUGACUGACAUGGCCAUCUGAGGUGACGGAAAGCAGCACAGUGGGAAUCCACAGUGACCAGACACUGAGCCAAGCAGAGGGUCCUUAUCCAGCUUUUUGGAGUGAGAGUUAAACAGCCUCACAUGCUCACUGCUGCCAUUCCAAAUCCUAUGGAAAAGGGCAAAAGGACUUUGAGGUCUGUCACAAGGACUUUACUGUGGCUUCACUGGAACAUAAGAAUAACCAUAAGGGCUCAGAGGAAGGUACAUCUCAGCAUCCUGUCUCCAGCAGUGGCCAUAGCAAGUGCCUAGGGUAGAGUAAAAGAACCAGAAUUUUCCUGGAGCAUGUGCAGACUACUAGGACCCCAGAGAUCAGAAGAGAUGAGUCAACCACAGUUUGGAAACUACAACAAUGACAAAGAAAAUCCAAAUCGCUGUUCUAGGAAUCGGCUGCACUGCUGGCAGCACUGGCAAAUGCCUGGUCAGGCCCCCUGCAGAUGAUACACAGCCAUAGUUCUUCAUCAUCGAGUGUGAUGAAGUUAGUCCAGUUCAAGUGGAGACAGGAGUAUGUGGCUCCUGAAACCCAAUUAUCUGAAAAUAUGCUUUGUGCAUUGCUAAUAAGAGAAGGGAAUAGUGCUACUAGACAUCAGUUUCACUUUGUAGCCGAGGGUCUGGGAGGAGAUGCAGACAAAUGUGUUGAUACCUCACACUGAUGACAGGAAGUAAGAUUAUCAAGGCGGUGGUCCAUGAAAAAAAGAAUAAGGUUCAAUUUGGUCUAGAAGCUAGAAAAAUACAUACAUAAAACAGCUAGGAGCUGCUACAAAAUAUAUCUAUCUCUGUAUUUAUAUAUAUAUAUGAAAUGAAAUUUCCUAUGUGGUUAUCCUUACCUGUCUUGCUUCCUAUGCAAGGAACAUUAUGCAAUGAUUAAGGAAUAUGAUCAUGACUCUUAUUGAGACAAGAGUGUCUUGUCAAUCAGCAGCCUAAUCAUUGAUGAGAUUGUAGCAGAAUAUUCCUACACAUUUAAAUUAAUACUGGAUUAUAAAACCUUCUGCUAUGGCUGUGUAUUUGUAACUUCUGCCUCUGAAGUACAGUCAAUAGCUCUUCCCUUGCUCUGUUUUUCAGUACCUUGAUUAGAGCUGAACAAAUGCUCUGGUGAGUGUCAAGCUUUACAGUUUCUCUGCUCUUUUUGAAGUUACUGUGAAAUAGUUCCUAAUGCUAAAGAGAGACUAUAACACAUUAAAGCACAGGCAUGUAGGAACAGUACAAGGUGUUGUCAGCUAUGGGAAA